RNAcentral lists this ribosomal RNA (200 nucleotides) under uncultured bacterium. Its description in RNAcentral is "partial 16S ribosomal RNA". It matches the Rfam family "Bacterial small subunit ribosomal RNA", at positions 30 to 233 of the family's 1533-position model. The record is from RNAcentral.
AUUGAACGCUGGCGGCAGGCCUAACACAUACAAGUCGAGCGCGAAAGUUCUUCGGAAUGAGUAAAGCGGCGGACGGGUGAGUAAUACAUGGGAAUCUGCCUGGUAGUGGGGGACAACGUUUCGAAAGGAACGCUAAUACCGCAUACGCCCUACGGGGGAAAGGGGGGGAUCUUCGGACCUCUCGCUAUCAGAUGAGCCCA